CAAUGUUUUAUAAAUGUAGUCUCUCAAUUGUUCUGUACUUAUGUUUGGAGUUCCAAACUCCUGAAUUAUGUCUGAUCCAUCGUAGAACUUCCCGUAACAUAUUAGACAUGAAAAAAGCUAAGUAAUAAUUUAGAGGUCAGAGACUCUGAGUAGACAUUAUAUCCAAACAUGGUUUAUGAGCAGGAAGAUUAAAUGUAAUAAAUUUUAGGGCAAAUUACACUAACCUCCCCUGAGGUCUUUUUAAAUAACACAAACACCCCCUCUAGUUUUUAAGUGAUCACUAACCUCCCUUAUUUUUCUAUCAAAUAGACAAACACCUCCCUUUCACCUUAACUCCUUCACUUUUGCUCACACAAACUGAGUUCUUUUACUUAUUGGUCAACAUAUUUUCUUCAACUGUUGCACUCGUUCUAUUUUCUUCAACAUUUUAUGAAACUGCUAUUCUAAGACAGGUUUCCAUUUUUUUAAUACGCUAAAUGAUAAAUAAUCAUGUUUGAAAGAAAAUCUAACAAAG
This 514-nucleotide long non-coding RNA is filed under the name Trifolium pratense (red clover). RNAcentral's name for it is "long non-coding RNA (TPRA_LNC007073)". The record is from RNAcentral. Lineage: Eukaryota; Viridiplantae; Streptophyta; Magnoliopsida; Fabales; Fabaceae.